This 481-nucleotide ribosomal RNA is filed under the name uncultured bacterium. Its description in RNAcentral is "partial 16S ribosomal RNA". It matches the Rfam family "Bacterial small subunit ribosomal RNA", at positions 30 to 506 of the family's 1533-position model. The record is from RNAcentral.
AUUGAACGCUGGCGGCAUGCUUUACGCAUGCAAGUCGAACGGUAACAGGCCGCAAGGUGCUGACGAGUGGCGAACGGGUGAGUAAUGCAUCGGAACGUGCCCAGUCGUGGGGGAUAACUACUCGAAAGAGUAGCUAAUACCGCAUACGAUCUAUGGAUGAAAGCGGGGGACCGUAAGGCCUCGCGCGAUUGGAGCGGCCGAUGUCAGAUUAGGUAGUUGGUGGGGUAAAGGCUCACCAAGCCAACGAUCUGUAGCUGGUCUGAGAGGACGACCAGCCACACUGGGACUGAGACACGGCCCAGACUCCUACGGGAGGCAGCAGUGGGGAAUUUUGGACAAUGGGCGCAAGCCUGAUCCAGCAAUGCCGCGUGCAGGAAGAAGGCCUUCGGGUUGUAAACUGCUUUUGUACGGAACGAAACGGCUCUGGUUAAUACCCGGGGCUAAUGACGGUACCGUAAGAAUAAGCACCGGCUAACUACGU